UACGUAGGGACCGAGCGUUGUCCGGAAUCAUUGGGCGUAAAGAGCGUGUAGGCGGCCUUUUAAGUCCUGCGUGAAAUCCUGCGGCUCAACCGCAGACGGUCGUGGGAAACUGGAAGGCUAGAGUGCGGGAGAGGAGAGUGGAAUUCCCGGUGUAGCGGUGAAAUGCGUAGAUAUCGUGAGGAACACCAGAGGCGAAGGCGGUUACCUGGACAAUUACUGACGCUCAGGCACGAAAGCAUGGGGAGCAAAAGGG
Molecule: ribosomal RNA, 253 nt
Filed under: uncultured bacterium
Lineage: Bacteria
Description: partial 16S ribosomal RNA
Rfam family: Bacterial small subunit ribosomal RNA
Source: RNAcentral